GAUGAAGAACGCAGCGAAAUGCGAUAACUAAUGUGAAUUGCAGAAUUCCGUGAAUCAUCGAGUCUUUGAACGCACAUUGCGCCCCCUGGUAUUCCGGGGGGCAUGCCUGUCCGAGCGUCAUUGCAACCCUCAAGCACGGCUUGUCUAAUGGGCGGUUCGUCUGCGGCCAUCCGCCGGAGACGCCCCCGAAAUGCAGUGGGGAUGUUCGCUAAAUCGCAGCGUCAGGAAUGGAAAUAAACAAUGCUGACGGCUCGAUGUCGAACGUCCACCUAAGGCGUGCCGCCCCCGGGGUGUGCCGCCCAACCUCUCUCGGUUGACCUCGGAUCAGGUAGGGAUACCCGCUGAACUUAAGCAUAUCAAUAAGCGGAGGA
This 371-nucleotide unclassified non-coding RNA is filed under the name soil metagenome. Its description in RNAcentral is "partial contains 5.8S ribosomal RNA, internal transcribed spacer 2, and large subunit ribosomal RNA". The stretch from base 1 to 120 matches the Rfam family "5.8S ribosomal RNA", at positions 35 to 154 of the family's 154-position model. The record is from RNAcentral.